GGGGAUUUAGCUCAGUGGUAGAGCGCUUGCCUAGCAAGCAAGCGCAAGGCCCUGGGUUCAGUCCCCA
Molecule: transfer RNA, 67 nt
Filed under: Rattus norvegicus (Norway rat)
Lineage: Eukaryota; Metazoa; Chordata; Mammalia; Rodentia; Muridae
Rfam family: tRNA
About the family: Transfer RNA (tRNA) molecules are approximately 80 nucleotides in length. Their secondary structure includes four short double-helical elements and three loops (D, anti-codon, and T loops).
Source: Rfam by way of RNAcentral